AAAGCGCCUCUUCCCCGUCCCUCUCCUACCUCCGCCAGGCAGGAAGAGAGCUUUCUCCUUAGAGCCGUGACUUAGGGGUGCCCAGCCCCAGGCACCUUGAGCCCCAUCCUCCUGCGAUGCCCCCUCGGAGUGUGGCUCUUCGGGCUCCAUCUUAAUGUGCAGUGACUCCUGAGUGUCCCCUGAAGGUACCGCCUCCCCCAGCUUAGAAGGCAUUUCCUGAUGAGGAUGUCCACGAUCUGGAACCUAGAAAGGACAGCCCCAUCAGCACCCAGAUGAGUGGGAGAGACACCCAGGGCCACAUGGCAGUGCGCUCCGGCAGCGUCGGAAACCAACAUGCAAGACGCAGCUUGAAGGACUGUCCUUGCUGCAUUCAUCCAGCUCACCCCAGCAAGGACGGGCGGCAAGAGGAGGAAUAUUCACCAAGCCGCCUCCACAGUGCCGGUGGGCGUGGUGCCCAAGGGCAGCUACCCCUUCUCAGCUCCAGCCUCACACUGACCUCAGCAGUGUAGACUGCUGUCUAUUAGUGUAUGAAGAAACCAAGUGUAGUGGCUUGAAUAGUGUCCUCUAAGAAUCCGUGUCCUCCCUGGACCUCAGAAUGGGACCUUAUUGGGGAAAAGGGUCUUUAUACAGGAGAGGACACAGAGACACAGAGAAGGAAGCAGAGACUGGAGGGAUGCCCACACCAAGGACACCAGGAGCCCCCAAGGAGUUGGAAGAGCCCCCUCCAGCUUCUGGCCAGGAGCCUAGAAGAGCAGACAGAAACCAGCCCUCGCUUCCUGGACACCCCCAAAGAGCCCUGAAAAUCCCCACGAGUACCAGCGCUCCCUGGUCCCAAUCGGAAAGAAAGUCUCCCAGAUCCUAUCCGAUGGUCCCACUCUCUGUGAUGUUUUCUGGGUCCUAUUUUUGAAAGAAUGCUAUUUUGUAUUGUCCCCUUUAUUGCUGAAGCAAGAGCCUCGCAUCUCAGUGUAACCGGCUCAGGGAAAGCCGAGGCUAAAUUGGAAUCGCUAUUUCCUGUCAUCAGGAGCAGAAAGUUCUGCAGAGAUCCUGCAGAACAGGUGCUGGUGGGGCCCCGCCCGUCAAGGCCAGGGUAAUCCAGGACCUGCUGUCCCCCGACCCCAGGACAUACACCGUGUGUCCCUACCU
This 1143-nucleotide long non-coding RNA is filed under the name Homo sapiens (human). Its description in RNAcentral is "HSALNT0384212". Lineage: Eukaryota; Metazoa; Chordata; Mammalia; Primates; Hominidae. The record is from RNAcentral.